CCUACGGGAGGCUGCAGUGGGGAAUAUUGGACAAUGGGGGGAACCCUGAUCCAGCCAUGCCGCGUGUGUGAAGAAGGCCCUCGGGUUGUAAAGCACUUUCAGUGAGGAAGAACGCCUGGUGGUUAAUACCCAUCAGGAAAGACAUCACUCACAGAAGAAGCACCGGCUAACUCCGUGCCAGCAGCCGCGGUAAUACGGAGGGUGCGAGCGUUAAUCGGAAUUACUGGGCGUAAAGCGCGCGUAGGUGGCUUGAUAAGCCGGUUGUGAAAGCCCCGGGCUCAACCUGGGAACGGCAUCCGGAACUGUCAAGCUAGAGUGCAGGAGAGGAAGGUAGAAUUCCCGGUGUAGCGGUGAAAUGCGUAGAGAUCGGGAGGAACACCAGUGGCGAAGGCGGCCUUCUGGACUGACACUGACACUGAGGUGCGAAAGCGUGGGUAGCAAACAGGAUUAGAUACCCCAGUAGUC
RNAcentral lists this ribosomal RNA (465 nucleotides) under Vreelandella stevensii. RNAcentral describes it as "partial 16S ribosomal RNA". It matches the Rfam family "Bacterial small subunit ribosomal RNA", at positions 338 to 795 of the family's 1533-position model. Lineage: Bacteria; Pseudomonadati; Pseudomonadota; Gammaproteobacteria; Oceanospirillales; Halomonadaceae. The record is from RNAcentral.